AAGCGGAAACCCAAGAGCGCCACGCUGCGGGCGGAGCUGCUGCAGAAGUCCACGGAGACCGCCCAGCAACUGAAGCGGAGCGCCGGGGUGCCCUUCCACGCCAAGGGCCGGGGGCUGCUGCGGAAGAUGGAUACCACCAGUAAGGCCCCCAUCCCGGUGCCGCAAGCCUUGCUUUUGGGGCAGAGCUAAGGGCUUGACCUGGAGACCCGCUCCCUGUUGGGGAGGUGGUGCAUGUGAACAGUCUUCAGGCAGCAGUGUUGGGAGCCCAUGGGAAAGCGAAGGCACCGGGGCAAUUUCACCGGCUUCUCCCCUUGGGGAGCUCCCUGGGAGGAUGUGUGGGCACAGAGACAGGAAGGCCGGGAUCUGGGGACAGCGCUGGCCCCUGCUCCUCUGCUGUCGGCAGCGGUGGCUCUCGGCCUUCCCGGCUCGGGCUUUGGGCCGCAAGUGCUGCUCUUGGGUUCCGAGUGUCCCUGGGC
Molecule: small RNA, 476 nt
Filed under: Pongo abelii (Sumatran orangutan)
Lineage: Eukaryota; Metazoa; Chordata; Mammalia; Primates; Hominidae
Description: retained intron
Source: RNAcentral